RNAcentral lists this ribosomal RNA (475 nucleotides) under uncultured organism. RNAcentral describes it as "partial 16S ribosomal RNA". It matches the Rfam family "Bacterial small subunit ribosomal RNA", at positions 332 to 798 of the family's 1533-position model. The record is from RNAcentral.
UACACUCCUGCGGGAGGCAGCAGUGGGGAAUAUUGCACAAUGGGCGCAAGCCUGAUGCAGCCAUGCCGCGUGUAUGAAGAAGGCCUUCGGGUUGUAAAGUACUUUCAGCGGGGAGGAAGGCGAUAAGGUUAAUAACCUUGUCGAUUGACGUUACCCGCAGAAGAAGCACCGGCUAACUCCGUGCCAGCAGCCGCGGUAAUACGGAGGGUGCAAGCGUUAAUCGGAAUUACUGGGCGUAAAGCGCACGCAGGCGGUCUGUCAAGUCGGAUGUGAAAUCCCCGGGCUCAACCUGGGAACUGCAUUCGAAACUGGCAGGCUAGAGUCUUGUAGAGGGGGGUAGAAUUCCAGGUGUAGCGGUGAAAUGCGUAGAGAUCUGGAGGAAUACCGGUGGCGAAGGCGGCCCCCUGGACAAAGACUGACGCUCAGGUGCGAAAGCGUGGGGAGCAAACAGGAUUAGAAACCCUAGUAGUCCCAU